GACGAACGCUAGCGACGUGCCUAAGAAAUGCAAGUCGAGCGAGGUUUAGGAGCUUGCUCCGAAGACCUAGCGGCGAACGGUCGCGUAACACGUAAGCAACCUGCCCUAAAGUUUGGGAUAGCCCUCCGAAAGGGGGAUUAAUACCGGAUGUGGAUACUUUUCGCUUGUGAGAGUAUCUAAAGCAGUAAUGCGCUUUAGGAUGGGCUUGCGGCCUAUCAGCUAGUUGGUGUGGGUAAAGGCCUACCAAGCCUGCGACGGGUAGCCGGACUGAGAGGUCGACCGGCCACACUGGAACUGAGACACGGUCCAGACUCCUACGGGAGGCAGCAGUGGGGAA
Molecule: ribosomal RNA, 337 nt
Filed under: uncultured bacterium
Lineage: Bacteria
Description: bacterial SSU rRNA
Rfam family: Bacterial small subunit ribosomal RNA
Source: RNAcentral